CCUACGGGUGACAGCAGUAGGGAAUAUUGCUCAAUGGGGGAAACCCUGAAGCAGCAACGCCGCGUGGAGGAUGAAGGUUUUCGGAUUGUUAACCCCUUUUGUUAUAGAAGAUAAUGACGGUAUCUAACGAAUAAGCACCGGCUAACUCCGUGCCAGCAGCCGCGGUAAUACGGAGGGUGCAAGCGUUACACGGAAUCACUGGGCGUAAAGGGCGCGUAGGCGGGAUAGCAAGUCAGAUGUGAAAUCCUAUGGCUUAACCAUAGAACUGCAUUUGAAACUGUUAGUCUAGAGUAUGGGAGAGGUAGGUGGAAUUCGUGGUGUAGGGGUAAAAUGCGUAGAGAUCAAGAGGAAUACUCAUUGCGAAGGCGACCUGCUGGAACGUAACUGACGCUGAGGCGCGAAAGCGUGGGGAGCAAACAGGAUUAGAUACCCUAGUAGUC
RNAcentral lists this ribosomal RNA (440 nucleotides) under uncultured bacterium. Its description in RNAcentral is "partial 16S ribosomal RNA". It matches the Rfam family "Bacterial small subunit ribosomal RNA", at positions 338 to 795 of the family's 1533-position model. The record is from RNAcentral.